CGAGUGGCGGACGGGUGAGUAAUGUCUGGGAAACUGCCUGAUGGAGGGGGAUAACUACUGGAAACGGUAGCUAAUACCGCAUAACGUCGAAAGACCAAAGAGGGGGACCUUCGGGCCUCUUGCCAUCGGAUGUGCCCAGAUGGGAUUAGCUAGUAGGUGGGGUAACGGCUCACCUAGGCGACGAUCCCUAGCUGGUCUGAGAGGAUGACCAGCCACACUGGAACUGAGACACGGUCCAGACUCCUACGGGAGGCAGCAUG
RNAcentral lists this ribosomal RNA (260 nucleotides) under uncultured bacterium. Its description in RNAcentral is "partial 16S ribosomal RNA". It matches the Rfam family "Bacterial small subunit ribosomal RNA", at positions 92 to 353 of the family's 1533-position model. The record is from RNAcentral.